GGGGUCMCCCGUCCGAGUUGUWCUUUGAAGAGGCGUCAUCGUGCGGACCACGUGAAAGUCCCCUGGAAUGGGCGUCACAGAGGGUGAUAACCCCGUAUUCGACGUGGACUACCGGGGCUUUGUGUUGCGCCUUCCAUGAGUCGGGUUGCUUGCGAAUGCAGCCCAAAAUGGGUGGUAAAUUCCAUCUAAGGCUAAAUACCGGUGGGAGACCGAUAGCGAACAAGUACCGCGAGGGAAAGAUGAAAAGAACUCUGGAAAGAGAGUUAAACAGUAUGUGAAAUCGUCAGGAGGGAAACGCUUGAAGUGGGCACACGUGGGCGGGAAUCAAACCGGGGCCUCGGCCUCGGCGGUACUUCUCGUCCCAUGGGCCAACAUCAGUUUUGGUCGGCGUAGAUGGCCGGGGGGAAUGUGGCGCCCUUUGGGGCGUGUUAUAGCCUCCCGGUGCUCACGUUGGUCGGGACUGACGAAUUGCUGUCGGGUCGACUCUGUCGACGUGGGUGCCACCCCUCAUGAGUGGUGCGACGCGAUGUUGGUUGGUCGGCUUUAAGCGACCHDUCUUGAAACACGGACCAAGGAGUGCAACACAUGCGCGAGUGUUAGGGUGGCAAACCCGAGCGCGCAGCGAAAGCGAUGUCCGGGAAUCCUUCACGGGAGGCACCGGAGCCCGGUUCAAAAGCGCGACCUCACGGUCAAGUGGACGGUGCCGAGGCAGAGCGCAUGUGCUGCGACCCGAAAGAUGGUGAACUAUGCCCGGGUAGGGUGAAGCCGGAGGAAACUCCGGUGGAGGCCCGCAGCGAUUCUGACGUGCAAAUCGAUCGUCUGAUCUGGGUAUAGGGGCGAAAGACCAAUCGAACCAUCUAGUAGCUGGUUCCUGCCGAAGUUUCCCUCAGGAUAGCAGAAGCCCGUUUAUCAGAUUUACGGGGUAAAGCGAAUGAUUAGAGGUCUUGGGGCCGCAAUGGCCUUAGCCUAUUCUCAAACUCUGAAUCCGUAAGAUCGGGGGAUCUCUUGGCUGGAUCCCCUGUUGAGAUUGUGGGCUUCUAGUGGGCCGGUUUUGGUAAGCAGAACUGGCGAUGCGGGAUGAACCGAACGUGGGGUUAAGGUGCCGGAACGCACGCUCAUCAGAUCCCAAAAAAGGUGUUAGUCCAUCCAGACAGCAGGACGGUGGCCAUGGAAGUCGGAACCCGCUAAGGAGUGUGUAACAACUCACCUGGCCGAAUGGACUAGCCCUGAAAAUGGAUGGCGCUUAAGCGUGUUACCCACACCCCACCCUCGGUGUGCUUCGUGAUGCACCGAGGAGUAGCAGCGCGGAGGUCCGCGUGGAAGCCUUUGGCGG
This 1333-nucleotide ribosomal RNA is filed under the name Kurtia argillacea. RNAcentral's name for it is "eukaryotic LSU rRNA". It matches the Rfam family "Eukaryotic large subunit ribosomal RNA", at positions 126 to 1418 of the family's 3401-position model. Lineage: Eukaryota; Fungi; Basidiomycota; Agaricomycetes; Hymenochaetales. The record is from RNAcentral.